Sphaeramia orbicularis (orbiculate cardinalfish) is the source of this 181-nucleotide long non-coding RNA. RefSeq lists it as uncharacterized. The record is from RefSeq and is a predicted model, not a curated record. The transcript has 3 exons. Lineage: Eukaryota; Metazoa; Chordata; Actinopteri; Kurtiformes; Apogonidae.
GUGUCAUCUCAUGACAAUAAAUAAACAAAUCAUUGCAUUUGUGAUUUAAAGGAAAAAACGACAUUACGCACUUCUGUUUUUUCAACAUUCAGUAAAUAUCGGUCAAGUUUUGCGCAUAUGUCCGAUGAAAAAGCAACUAAUGACAGUGCAUAUACACUUGUUUUUAUGUUUAGUUAAUGAU